GAUAGGACAAGAGGAAACGGCCUGAGACUGUGCCAGGGGAGGUUUAGAUUGGUUAUUAGGAAAAAUUUUCUUCACCAGAAGGGUAGUUAGGCAUUGGAACAGGCUUCCAGGGAAGUGGUGGAAUUGCCGUCCUUGGAAGUGUUCAGGAAACGUAGAUGAGUCUCUUACUGGCAUGGUUUAGUGGUGAACUUGGCAGACUGGGGUAAAGACUGGACUUGAUGAUCUUAAAGGUCUUUUCCAACCUGGUUGAUUCUAUGAUUCUUUUAAAUGGCUCUGCUUUCACCUUGCCUCCUCAUUUUAUGGCAUUUUUGCCUUCCUCCAACAAGCAGAGGCAAGGUGGAGGCCAGCAUCUCUUCAGGUGCCACUUCUAUAAGGCCUCUCACAAUGGGGGUGGCACUGCCUCUCCCUGGAGAAAGGCCUUGAGGCUUCAGUGUUGCCAAUGCUUCAAAAGAUGAGAUAGUUUGAAAAACUACAGGGAGGAAGAGAGAUCCCAGAGAAAGCUCAGAGGAAUUUUGGGAAGGAGGAAGUACUGUGGAAGGGAAUAGACAGGAGUAAGCUGAGUUCAAGCUACCCUGGAGCCUCUGUGCAAGGAGGUGAAGGCCAGGUGUUCAAAAGUAUUGGGUCAUUCUGAGCUCUGAAGUGAGGUUCUAAAGUCAUCAUCUCAUGUUUGGUGUGAAAGGGGACUGGAGGAAUGACAUGAGUUUUGGGAAGUCAGAGGGUAGGGAAAGUAGGCUGCUUCUGAUGUUUGAAGAGUUAAAAUACACAGGUGUCAGGACUUGCAGCAGCGUGGCUAAUCAGCUUUCCAUUGAGGAAAGGAAUGAGAAACACCAGAGAUCAGUAUCAGGAAAUGGAUUAUGUUUACAUUUGUGGAGGAGUAAAUUCAUAUUCAUCAAAUGAUCAGGCAAAAGGUGCAGUGUUUAUGGAUUUCGGGCUACCAGAUAUAGAAGCCUGAAGACCUAGAGUGGAUUUUAUAGUAAAAACAGCAAUUUAAGUAACUUGGUGACAUUUACAAUGAUAAUUUAUCUGGAAUGAUUUAAGCAUUGAGAGUUUUAUGAAAUGCAGCUGAGAGGCAUAAAGUUUUGAGCUCUAGCCAAAGUUUGAGUACUGGUGGAACAGGAUUUCUAAGUGAAAUCCCUGAGAAAUGAGGUGCACAUAAAUGUAGAUGGUAAGAGGCCAGGAAUAAGUACUAAUCUGCUGUGGGGUGGAAUUAGUUAAUACCUGUGGGACACAAUGGUCAUAGAUGGCAACAACUGAGGUGGAACUAAUUUGCAACAUAAGGGGGAGAAUUUCUGCUAGGCAAUGUCUGACAAUUCUGUCUUUUUUUAGCUGGACUGAAGGAUUAACAUAGUCCUACAAGUUGCCAUGCUGUUGCUUCUGUAACUGAUGCCUUCUUGCAUGAGAGAAGUGGAGGUGGAUAUGGGCAUCCAUUUAGGAAGAUCAUUCUGCUGCCUUCUCUCAGAGUUGAAGCUUCAGCAUUCAGGUCUAGUAAAAAAUUCUACUC
Pezoporus occidentalis (night parrot) is the source of this 1501-nucleotide long non-coding RNA. RefSeq lists it as uncharacterized. NCBI's taxonomy places the organism in Eukaryota, Metazoa, Chordata, Aves, Psittaciformes, Psittacidae. The transcript is spliced from 2 exons. The record is from RefSeq and is a predicted model, not a curated record.